AGAGUUUGAUUAUGGCUCAGAACGAACGCUGGCGGCGCGUUUUAAGCAUGCAAGUCGAGCGGCAAGGGCCUUCGGGCCCCUAGAGCGGCGGACGGGUGAGUAACACGUGGACAAUCUGCCCCCCGGCCGGGGAUAGCCCAGGGAAACCUGGAUUAAUACCGGAUGAGACGGGACCCGCGGAGGCGGGAUCCGGGAAAGGCGCUGCGGCGCCGCCGGGGGAUGAGUCUGCGUCCCAUUAGCUUGACGGCGGGGUAACGGCCCACCGUGGCGACGAUGGGUAGCCGGCCUGAGAGGGUGUACGGCCACAUUGGAACUGAGACACGGUCCAGACUCCUACGGGAGGCAGCAGCUAAGAAUCUUCCGCAAUGGGCGAAAGCCUGACGGAGCGACGCCGCGUGAACGAAGAAGGCCGUGAGGUUGUAAAGUUCUUUUCGGGAGGGGGAACAACCGUGGCAGGGAAUGGCCGCGGGAUGACGUGAAUCCCGGAAUAAGCCCCGGCUAACUACGUGCCAGCAGCCGCGGUAACACGUAGGGGGCGAGCGUUGUUCGGAAUCAUUGGGCGUAAAGGGCGUGCAGGCGGUCCUGCAAGUCCGGCGUGAAAGACCCCGGCCCAACCGGGGGGGCGCGCUGGAAACUGCAGGGCUUGAGUACAGGAGGGGAUGCCGGAAUUCCAGGUGUAGGGGUGAAAUCUGUAGAUAUCUGGAGGAACACCAAUGGCGAAGGCAGGCAUCUGGCCAUGUACUGACGCUGAGACGCGAAGGUGCGGGGAACAAACAGGAUUAGAUACCCUGGUAGUC
RNAcentral lists this ribosomal RNA (797 nucleotides) under uncultured Sphaerochaeta sp. Its description in RNAcentral is "bacterial SSU rRNA". It matches the Rfam family "Bacterial small subunit ribosomal RNA", at positions 8 to 795 of the family's 1533-position model. Lineage: Bacteria; Pseudomonadati; Spirochaetota; Spirochaetia; Spirochaetales; Sphaerochaetaceae. The record is from RNAcentral.